Molecule: ribosomal RNA, 468 nt
Filed under: uncultured bacterium
Lineage: Bacteria
Description: partial 16S ribosomal RNA
Rfam family: Bacterial small subunit ribosomal RNA
Source: RNAcentral
GACGAACGCUGGCGGCGUGCUUAACACAUGCAAGUCGAACGGAAAGGCCCUGCUUUUGUGGGGUGCUCGAGUGGCGAACGGGUGAGUAACACGUGAGUAACCUGCCCUUGACUUUGGGAUAACUUCAGGAAACUGGGGCUAAUACCGGAUAGGAGCUCCUGCUGCAUGGUGGGGGCUGGAAAGUUUCGGCGGGUGGGGAUGGACUCGCGGCUUAUCAGCUUGUUGGUGGGGUAGUGGCUUACCAAGGCUUUGACGGGUAGCCGGCCUGAGAGGGUGACCGGCCACAUUGGGACUGAGAUACGGCCCAGACUCCUACGGGAGGCAGCAGUGGGGAAUAUUGCACAAUGGGCGGAAGCCUGAUGCAGCAACGCCGCGUGCGGGAUGACGGCCUUCGGGUUGUAAACCGCUUUCGCCUGUGACGAAGCGUGAGUGACGGUAAUGGGUAAAGAAGCACCGGCUAACUACGUG